Molecule: ribosomal RNA, 484 nt
Filed under: uncultured bacterium
Lineage: Bacteria
Description: partial 16S ribosomal RNA
Rfam family: Bacterial small subunit ribosomal RNA
Source: RNAcentral
AUUGAACGCUGGCGGCAGGCCUAACACAUGCAAGUCGAGCGGAUGAAGGGAGCUUGCUCCUGGAUUCAGCGGCGGACGGGUGAGUAAUGCCUAGGAAUCUGCCUGGUAGUGGGGGAUAACGUCCGGAAACGGGCGCUAAUACCGCAUACGUCCUGAGGGAGAAAGUGGGGGAUCUUCGGACCUCACGCUAUCAGAUGAGCCUAGGUCGGAUUAGCUAGUUGGUGGGGUAAAGGCCUACCAAGGCGACGAUCCGUAACUGGUCUGAGAGGAUGAUCAGUCACACUGGAACCGAGACACGGUCCAGACUCCUACGGGAGGCAGCAGUGGGGAAUAUUGGACAAUGGGCGAAAGCCUGAUCCAGCCAUGCCGCGUGUGUGAAGAAGGUCUUCGGAUUGUAAAGCACUUUAAGUUGGGAGGAAGGGCAGUAAGUUAAUACCUUGCUGUUUUGACGUUACCGACAGAAUAAGCACCGGCUAACUUCGUG